This 558-nucleotide ribosomal RNA is filed under the name Triticum aestivum (bread wheat). RNAcentral describes it as "partial small subunit ribosomal RNA". The record is from RNAcentral. Lineage: Eukaryota; Viridiplantae; Streptophyta; Magnoliopsida; Poales; Poaceae.
AUGGUUGUGAUCGGCGAUUUUAAUGAGAUCAUUCUCUCCUCAGAGAAGGACGGAGGUGCCCCUCGACAACAAUCUCGUCUUAAAGCCUUUCAGGAUGCCUUGUCUGAUUGCGCGCUAGAAGACUUGGGGUACGAGGGUGAUGGUUUCAUGUGGUUCCAUGGAGGACUGCGAGAAAGACUAGAUCGGGCAGUGUCAAAUGCAGAAUGGAUGAGGCUACACCCGUGGGCAGGCCUGUGCAACUUGGAGCUAGGUAAAUCAGACCACAGGCCGAUCUGUUUGGACACUAACCACCUUGUUGGAGUGGCAGAACAUGCACCAUCCUACGGAAGAAAAUUUGAGGCAAGGUGGCUAGCUGAGGAGACUGUGGAAGAGAUUGUUAAAAUGGCGUGGCAAAAGGCUGCCGCCCGUAACAUUGGACCAGGAGUGGGUGCUAAACUUUCUGCGGUGCAUCAGGAUAUGCAUGCCUGGGACCGAAGGGUGCUAAAGGUGCCCCGCUCAAGACUCAGGAAGGCACAGAGAGAGCUCGAAUUGCUCUCAAGGGCAAUCCCGACUCCCUGA